RNAcentral lists this ribosomal RNA (376 nucleotides) under Asterophora lycoperdoides. RNAcentral describes it as "LSU rRNA". It matches the Rfam family "Bacterial large subunit ribosomal RNA", at positions 1708 to 2046 of the family's 2925-position model. The record is from RNAcentral. Lineage: Eukaryota; Fungi; Basidiomycota; Agaricomycetes; Agaricales; Lyophyllaceae.
AGGAACCGCAUAUAUUAUAAUUAUUUAAUUAUUGCCUCCAUUAUUCAUAUCCUUUUNAGUGAUAUAAUAAUGGGGGAAGGAUAAAUAAUUAAUUACUUAUAAUUAAGGCGGUGGCACAGAAUCGGAGGCCCCGACUGUUUACUAAAAACACAACACAGUGCAAUCAUUAAUAUGAUAGUAUACUGUGUGAAAUUUGCCCGAUGCCAUUAAUAUAAGAGAGGUCAUGGGGAACUGUGACUAAUCGAAAAUCUGGUUAAUAGCGGUCUUAACUAUGAGGAUCCUAAGGUAGCAAAAUAAGUUGGCCAUUAAAUGUGGUCCGGUAUCAAUAAUGUAACGAUGGCCUCACUGUCUCUACAACUUGCUCAGUCAAAUUGAA